GACGAACGCUGGCGGCGUGCUUAACACAUGCAAGUCGAGCGGUAAGGCCCUUUCGGGGGUACACGAGCGGCGAACGGGUGAGUAACACGUGGGUGACCUGCCCUUAGCUCUGGGAUAAGCCUGGGAAACUGGGUCUAAUACCGGAUAUGACUCCAUGACGCAUGUUGUGGGGUGGAAANCCUUGUGCGGCUAGGGAUGGGCCCGCGGCCUAUCAGCUUGUUGGUGGGGUGAUGGCCUACCAAGGCGACGACGGGUAGCCGGCCUGAGAGGGCGACCGGCCACACUGGGACUGAGACACGGCCCAGACUCCUACGGGAGGCAGCAGUGGGGAAUCUUGCGCAAUGGGCGAAAGCCUGACGCAGCGACGCCGCGUGAGGGAUGACGCCU
RNAcentral lists this ribosomal RNA (387 nucleotides) under uncultured bacterium. Its description in RNAcentral is "bacterial SSU rRNA". It matches the Rfam family "Bacterial small subunit ribosomal RNA", at positions 28 to 416 of the family's 1533-position model. The record is from RNAcentral.